CCGGCGACCGGCGGACGGGUGCGUAACGCGUAUGUAACCUACCUUUGACAGGGGGAUAACAUCGAGAAAUUGGUACUAAUACCCCAUAACAUCACCGGAGGCAUCUUCGGUGGUUGAAAACUCAGGUGGUCAGAGAUGGACAUGCGUUGUAUUAGCUAGUUGGUGAGGUAACGGCUCGCCAAGGCGACGAUACAUAGGGGGACUGAGAGGUCAACCCCCACAUUGGUACUGAGACACGGACCAAACUCCUACGGAAGGCAGCAG
RNAcentral lists this ribosomal RNA (264 nucleotides) under uncultured bacterium. RNAcentral's name for it is "partial 16S ribosomal RNA". It matches the Rfam family "Bacterial small subunit ribosomal RNA", at positions 88 to 354 of the family's 1533-position model. The record is from RNAcentral.